UACGAAGGGGGCUAGCGUUGUUCGGAUUUACUGGGCGUAAAGCGCACGUAGGCGGGUUGUUACGUCAGGGGUGAAAUCCUGGAGCUCAACUCCAGAACUGCCUUUGAUACUGGCAACCUAGAGGCUGGAAGAGGUUAGUGGAAUUCCCAGUGUAGAGGUGAAAUUCGUAGAUAUUGGGAAGAACACCAGGGGCGAAGGCGGCUAACUGGUCCAGAUCUGACGCUGAGGUGCGAAAGCGUGGGGAGCAAACAGG
This 253-nucleotide ribosomal RNA is filed under the name uncultured bacterium. RNAcentral's name for it is "partial 16S ribosomal RNA". It matches the Rfam family "Bacterial small subunit ribosomal RNA", at positions 524 to 776 of the family's 1533-position model. The record is from RNAcentral.